Molecule: ribosomal RNA, 938 nt
Filed under: uncultured delta proteobacterium
Lineage: Bacteria; Deltaproteobacteria
Description: bacterial SSU rRNA
Rfam family: Bacterial small subunit ribosomal RNA
Source: RNAcentral
AGAGUUUGAUCCUGGCUCAGAACGAACGCUGGCGGCGUGCUUAACACAUGCAAGUCGAGCGAGAAAGGGGGGGGCAACCUCCCUGAGUAGAGCGGCGCACGGGCGAGUAACGUGUGGGUAACCUACCCCUCGGCGGGGGAUAACUACUCGAAAGGGUGGCUAAUACCGCAUGAGACCACGGGGUCCUCGGACCCUAAGGCCAAAGGCCGCUCCGGCUUGCCGGGGCGGUCACCGGAGGAUGGGCCCGCGUCCGAUUAGCUAGUUGGUGAGGUAACGGCUCACCAAGGCUACGAUCGGUAGCUGGUCUGAGAGGAUGAUCAGCCACACUGGAACUGGAACACGGUCCAGACUCCUACGGGAGGCAGCAGUGAGGAAUAUUGCGCAAUGGGGGAAACCCUGACGCAGCAACGCCGCGUGGGUGAAGAAGGCCUUCGGGUCGUAAAGCCCUUUCGGACGGGACGAACGCUCCGCGGUGACAACCCGCGGAGUCUGACGGUACCGUAAGAAGAAGCACCGGCUAACUCCGUGCCAGCAGCCGCGGUAAUACGGAGGGUGCAAGCGUUGUUCGGAAUUACUGGGCGUAAAGCGCGUGUAGGCGGCCUUGCAAGCCAGACGUGAAAGCGCUCGGCUUAACCGGGGAAGUGCGUCUGGAACUGCUCGGCUCGAGUACGGGAGAGGGAGGCGGAAUUCCCAGUGUAGAGGUGAAAUUCGUAGAUAUUGGGAGGAACACCGGUGGCGAAAGCGGCCUCCUGGACCGAUACUGACGCUGAGACGCGAAAGCGUGGGGAGCAAACAGGAUUAGAUACCCUGGUAGUCCACGCGGUAAACGAUGGGCACUAGGUGUGGGGGGUAUCCACUCCUCCCGUGCCGCAGCUAACGCACUAAGUGCCCCGCCUGGGGAGUACGGCCGCAAGGUUAAAACUCAAAGGAAUUGACGG